Molecule: long non-coding RNA, 753 nt
Organism: Oncorhynchus nerka (sockeye salmon)
Lineage: Eukaryota; Metazoa; Chordata; Actinopteri; Salmoniformes; Salmonidae
Exons: 2
Source: RefSeq, a predicted model, not a curated record
CUAGCACGUGGUGCCGCGCGGUGAAACACCUCUUCCCAUUAAUUUUCAAUGGAAGGAAAGCGGUGAGAAGCAGAGGGCGGUGGAUCAUUGGGCGGCACGAACGUGGUGUGGGAGAGGGUGAAAAGUUCAACAUUUCCCAACUUUAUGCAAAUCACCAGCAUCGACCGCUGGGCGAGGACCUGUUACGGUUUUCUUCCGUCGAAGGAGAGUCGGACCAAAAUGCAGCGUGGUUAGUUCGAUACCAAUCAGAGACAACGAAAUCAUCUGCCUCCUGAUUAAGAACCGCCUCAGGCAACCAUAGACUUUCCUAGACAACCCUACUCAGCCACAAUCCCAAUACCUACUAAAACCCCAAUACAAAAACACACCACGAAAUAAACCCAUGUCACACCCUGGCCUGACCAAAUAAAGAAAGAAAACACAAAAUACUAAGACCAAGGCGUGACAGGACCAAUCAUAUCAAGUUGUUCCCACAACAAAUUUGACGCUAUGCAACCCAAGGCUGGAGACUUUCUUCAGCAAAGAUGGCUGACAAAAAUACUAGGAUGGAAGCAAAUUCUUCCUGGUUUUGACCCCUACCUGUCUCUGGACUACUUUCCCGCCUGCCUGAUCAUCCUGCCUGCUCUGACCUUGAGCCUGCCCUUCGGUACCUUUUGGACUCUGAACUGGUUUUGACCCUUUUGCCUGUCCAUGACCAUUCUCCACGACCAUCCUCCUUACCCUAUUGAAUUAAUAAAUAUUGUAAGGCUCCAA